Molecule: long non-coding RNA, 4119 nt
Filed under: Sus scrofa (pig)
Lineage: Eukaryota; Metazoa; Chordata; Mammalia; Artiodactyla; Suidae
Description: lncRNA (ENSSSCG00065005122.1)
Source: RNAcentral
AAGACCCGCAUGAAAUAUGAGCAGGGGACAGAAGAGACUUCCUGGGGAGCCCAGGAAACGGGCAGCACAGACAUGCGUGAGUACAAACACCGGCGGAUGCCACGUCUCAGGCGGAGGUCACGCGUCAGACUGGGAUCAACUUCUUCGCGUGAUGGAUGCUGAGAAACGGGAUGCAGGGGACCGUUAAAUGACACAUGGUGCCCUGGUGUCACGGAGACCAAAAAGGACAGAAACCGAACCCGCUAGGUACAAAGUGCUUCAUGUUCAUGACAAAGGAAAUAAAGUUCAAUUGGAAGGAAGGACGGAGGAAGGGAGGGAAGCACGCAUAGAAUACAUAUUUAGGGCUGUUUUAAACUUAGUGGCCAUGAGUACAUUUGAAACACCCUUUACCCACCACUCAGACACGCAUGGCUCGUGGCCCAAGAAGCAGAUAACACACAGGGCAGAAGAUGGAGACACUGUAAAGAUGCGAAUUUGAAAGAACUCCCCACACAGGAUACUCAGCCUGACGCUCUGGAAUUUGCAUAGUUUGACUUGUAUUUAAAAAGCAAUUUCAAGGUCAGCUUCAGUGGAGAAACACUGAGCUAAGAUGGGAAGUAACCCCAUUAAAAGUCUACCAGUGUUUUGCAUAUUUAUUUUUCUUCUUUUGGAGUGAGCAAUGACGACUCAUAAAUCAAAAAAUCAGGGUAAACAAACACCACAGAGGUUACUUCGUACCAAAUGUAUACUCUUUAUUCUAUUUAUACACACUAACAUUUCUAUUACUCGAAUUCAAAGUGUGUAAUACAUGCAUGCAUGCUUUAAAAAUCUGCAUACAUUUGCAUAAGAUGGAAAAAAAUAUAUUAUUGUCCCAAGUCUCAGAAGACCAUGGGCCCAAAUAAAAUGACGACCACCUCAAAUGCAUUUUUGUAUAAUGGGAUGGAAGUAAUGUUUAUUUUUAAAAGCUCCAGGCCUAUUUCUUCCUUUCUUUUUUUUUUAGUAUAAAUAGAUUUACAUUUUCCGGUUAUGUAGAUUCCAUGGUCUGACCAUGAAUAUCCUAUGCGGGUAGAGGCAGCUGAACAGGAUAACCUUGGGUGUUUCCAACACGAUUCAAGGGGCUUCAGCAAAAGCAUGAACAAAAUAUCAAAAUCAGCACCCACGCUGUAAUGCUGAAAAGACCAUCAGGGAAUAGGAAGUGGGGGCGGAGAAAAAGAAAAAUGGAAUUUGGAGACCUGAAGACAGCCACUGAGACAGUUACCCCCCAAAUAGGGAUUUUCACCAAGCAUACUUGGAGGUUCCAAAAAUCUAAAUCCUUUUCUGUUUUAGAAACUUCGUAGUAAUUUGAUAUCUGCUCAUUUGCCAGAUAUAAUGGCUUCCCAGGCCAUUUUAGAAGCCAACUAACAAAAAUUAGCCCUGUUUAUGGCUUGUUUUUAUUUAAAAAAAAAAAAAAUCCCUUACUUUAUCCAUUGGACUAGACUUGAAACAACUUUCAGCUACUUCCAAAGAAAUUAAGUCCCCUCUCCUACGAUAAAGCAGUGAGGUGAUACCCAACAAAGAAUCUAAAGUAUUACAAAUCAAACGUAAUUCACAAAAAGGGAAAUUCUAAAAAAGUUUUUCCAGCAAUUGUAGGAUCAGGCUUCACUGUCUAAAGGAAACACAGUUCAGAGGACAGCAAAUCCACUCUGCAAGUAGGACUCUUUCAAGGCCAGAUCCUGCCUCUGCUUCAUCUUGAAAUUCCAGCACGCAACUGACAUCUGAAGACAAAAGAUGCUCAGGGGCUCUUUGUUGACUGCAACCCACAACUGGCUUGGUUCUGAGUGCCAGGGCAGGGGAUGCCUAGCAUUAAGUUUCAUCUCCAUCUUUCUCAUUUCGACUGUGCCAAACUGGCAUCUCCUGUCCCCCCUGCCUGAAGUCCUGGCUUUCCAGAACCCCCUUUGGCUGCCUCUGGUGACUCAAGCCUCAGAUUCAUUUAGGGCAUUCUGGACCCUUCCCCCCGCCCCCAGUGAAAUCAGCCUAACUCUCAUUCCAAGUCCCCCGGCAUGGCUUUACCCAGUGUAACUGGCCACUGAUUAUUCCUCUCUGACUUGUAUCUUGCUCACUCAUUCACUGGCUGAGUCUGUACAAACAAGGAGCCUUUGUUUGCCUUGAGUUCUGUAGCCCCCAAACUAGUACACAGGAGGUGUUCAAUACAAACCUCUGGAAUGAAUGAAUGUACCCAAAUGCCCAGACAUGACUUGUAAUAUUUGUCUGUAUUUACAGAAUCCUGCUGCUGAUGGUCUCAAAGACUGAGGAGACUCGUGGCCCUAACAGCUGAAUGACCAGUAGAUCAGGCACAUCAAGACAGGUGGUACAAUGAGGUACCACCUCAUACCAGUCAGAAAGGCCAUCAUUAAUAGGUCCACAAUAACAAAUGCUGGGGAGGGUGUGGAGGAAAGGGAACCCUCUUACACUACUGGUAGGAAGGUAAGUUGGUACAAUCCCUCUGGAAAACAGUAUGGAAGUUCCUCAGAAAGCUAAAUGUAGAACUACAAUAUGAUCCAGCAAUCCCACUCCUGGGCAUAGAUCUGGACAAAACUUUCAUUCAAAAAGGUACAUGCACCCCUAUGUUUAUUAUAGCACUAUUCACAAGAGCCAAGACAUGGAAGUAACCUAAAUAUCCAUCGACGGAUGAAUGGAUUAAAAUGUGGUACAUAUACACAAUGGAAUACUACUCGGCCAUAAAAAAGAACAAAAUAACGCCAUCUGCAGCAACAUGGAGAUUCUCUAGUUGAUCUGCAUGCAACUAGAGAUUCUCAUACUAAGUGAAGUAAGUCAGAAGGAACAAGACACGUACCGUAUUAUAUCACUUACACGUGGAAUCUAAAAUAGGGCACAGAUGCACCUAUCUACAGAACAGAAACAGACUGAAAGACAUGGAGAACAACAGACUUGUGGUGGCCGAGGGGGAAGGAAUGGGAUACACAGGGCGUUCAGGGUUAGUAGAUACAAACUGUUACAUUUAGAAUGGAUAAGCAAAGAGGUCCUGCUCCAUAGCACAGGGAACCACAGCCAGUCUCUUGGGACAGACGGUGGUGGAAGCCAAUACAAAAAAAGAGACUGUGUAUACAUACAUGUAUAUAUGACGGGGUCACUUCCCUGCACAGCAGAAAGUGACACAACAUUGUAAAUCAACUAUAAUUAAAAAAAAAAAAAUUAAAAGACAGAUGCUGGGGAUAGGAAAGUGAAUGACGCAGAGGCCUGGCCUCUGAGGGUCCUCCUUCCUCCCACACGGGUCCUCAAUUCUCGGUGUCCAUGGCCUCAGCUGAUGGUUCACGUUUGAAAACACCACCAUCCCUGGGAACAUCCUGGUGACAGACCCUGAUUCUAACCUGGAGGACGAGCACUGAGGACUGUCCAUAUACUAGUGUGAAGAGGCAGAGGGUGGCACGCACUGCUGUGUUCCCCCCCUUUCCCCACUGUGAGUGUCUUCAGCUCACUUCCAGACAUGCGGAAAUCUGCCCUCCUCUCACAAAGGCAGCCCUCUGCCUUUCGUGGGGUCCAGGAAGGGCCUGACACGCAGUGAUGACAUCUCGGGGCCUCAGGAGUUGACAUCACAGGAUCGGAGUGGGAAUCCACGCUCUGAUGCCGGCUGCCCGGCCUUGAGAAGGUCACCAGCCUCUCGGAGGACAAUGAGGGUGACAGAGGACUUCGAGGAUUAAGACACAGAAGGACAGUUCUAUACGACAACGCCUAACUCAGAGCUCGGGGCCUGAAAAAACUCAAGAAACGUAUGUUUAGCACCUCCCUGGAAUUCACGUGGCCAGAGAAAAUACACACACACCCCCCAAAAAGAAGGGGGGACCAUUUUGUUAAUGCGUAAUCCCUACAUCUGUAUCUAAUUAACAUAAUUAAAAACACAGAUGUACGUGUAAAUCAGGGUAAAAAGUUGCUCCUUCUAUUCUGGUAACGUUUUGGUAUAUUUGAAAUGCUUUUAAAAUUAAAAGUCCCCCGCACCCCGCCAAAAAAAAAAAAAAAAAAAAAAAAAUACUCCAUCUGUAUGCUCCUCUUAAUGGAAACUGGAUACACCAGAGUUUUUUAAAAUCUAGGAAUGGGGAUGUGACUGAUGGGAAGGGAUUAUGGAGGGACUGCUUUAAAACCCCU